AAAUGCCAAUAAGUUGCAAGAGCAGCAAAGAAAGGUUGUUACAGAUACUUUACUCAUUGAUCAAUCAGGACAGUCAAAGAUUCAUUCCCCGAAUAAAACAAAUAUGAAUAAUAGAAAUAGUGUUGAUAACAACACAAUUACAAUUGUUAAAGCACCAGUUAGGCGACUGUCAAUGAAUCUUACCAAAAGUUCAAAAGAAGUAAUACAUGGAGGAGAUAAAUCAUUUGUCACAGUGAGGGAGGAGAGUAAAACUAAUUCAGCAAAACUUAAAAGAAGCGUAGGAAAAAA
Molecule: non-coding RNA, 288 nt
Organism: Petromyzon marinus (sea lamprey)
Lineage: Eukaryota; Metazoa; Chordata; Hyperoartia; Petromyzontiformes; Petromyzontidae
Source: RefSeq, a predicted model, not a curated record